CAUCCUCCAAGGCUAAAUACUCCUGACUGACCGAUAGUGAACCAGUACCGUGAGGGAAAGGCGAAAAGAACCCCGGCGAGGGGAGUGAAAAAGAACCUGAAACCGUGUACGUACAAGCAGUGGGAGCCCCACCACUAAGCCAGUGGUGAACUCCACAUACGCUCCUUUGCUGAGGAUACGGUUAACGGAGCGCAAGCGACGUUCAACCGCAAAAGAAGCAGAGGGGGCUUAGUGGUGGGGUGACUGCGUACCUUUUGUAUAAUGGGUCAGCGACUUAUAUUCUGUAGCAAGGUUAACCGUAUAGGGGAGCCGGAGGGAAACCGAGUCUUAAUUGGGCGUUAAGUUGCAGGGUAUAGACCCGAAACCCGGUGAUCUAGCCAUGGGCAGGUUGAAGGUUGGGUAACACUAACUGGAGGACCGAACCGACUAAUGUUGAAAAA
This 440-nucleotide ribosomal RNA is filed under the name Salmonella enterica subsp. enterica serovar Derby. Its description in RNAcentral is "partial 23S ribosomal RNA". It matches the Rfam family "Bacterial large subunit ribosomal RNA", at positions 454 to 796 of the family's 2925-position model. The record is from RNAcentral. Lineage: Bacteria; Pseudomonadati; Pseudomonadota; Gammaproteobacteria; Enterobacterales; Enterobacteriaceae.